AAUGAACGCUGGCGGCGCGCCUAAUACAUGCAAGUCGAGCGAGAAGACGUAGCAAUACGUUUGUAAAGCGGCGAACGGGUGAGGAAUACAUGGGUAACCUACCCUCGAGUGGGGAAUAACUAGCCGAAAGGUUAGCUAAUACCGCGUACGCUUCUUGGACUUCGGUUCAGGGAGGAAAGCGAUACCGUGGGUAUCGCGCUCUUGGAUGGGCUCAUGUCCUAUCAGCUUGUUGGUGAGGUAACGGCUCACCAAGGCUUCGACGGGGUAGCUGGUCUGAGAGGACGAUCAGCCACACUGGCACUGCGACACGGGCCAGACUCCUACGGGGAGGCAGCAGUAAGGAAUAUUGCGC
This 352-nucleotide ribosomal RNA is filed under the name uncultured bacterium. RNAcentral describes it as "bacterial SSU rRNA". It matches the Rfam family "Bacterial small subunit ribosomal RNA", at positions 29 to 369 of the family's 1533-position model. The record is from RNAcentral.